This 774-nucleotide long non-coding RNA is filed under the name Chloebia gouldiae (Gouldian finch). RNAcentral describes it as "Erythrura gouldiae (Gouldian finch) lncRNA (ENSEGOG00005004197.1)". Lineage: Eukaryota; Metazoa; Chordata; Aves; Passeriformes; Passeridae. The record is from RNAcentral.
CCAGGCUCCUGUUUCCACAUUACUAACCAAAAGCAGUUAGAUGGUUUUUUUGGGCGCCUCUGCUUUUCCAAAUCUCUGCAUGGCUGUGUCUCUCCCUUCAGAAAAGGGAAGGACGUGCUCCAGAGGCUCCGUGGAGGUGGCAUGGAUCUUCAUUUGGAUUUCAGGAGACAUAAACAACAGCAGCUUGUGAAGACAACGCUUCUGUGAAGGGGGGAAGCCUUCAGUGCUGGGCAGAAGGGAGCCUGCAGAGGGCUGUGGGAAGAGGCAGAGCCAGCUUUGCCUGGGAACGCCUCAUCCAAGGAGAGGAUCCAAAGAAACAGGUUCACCUCCUGCAGGCCCCCAGGACUGGGAAUUGGAUGGGUUGGAGAAGCUGCCUUUGCUUUGUGCUGCUCCCCUGUAGUCAGCAAUUAUCUCUUCAGGAUCCUGUUAGGCUCUACAGUCACAGUAUGAAACCAUCCCCUAACCAAUCCUUGAAACCUGAAUAAAAAGCAACAAGGAAAGGACCCUUCUAUUCCAGACCUGCUCUCUCUGCUGUUUGGACCUCGCAGCUCAUCUGAGGGUAAAACCUGCAGUUCAGCCAGAAGGGAGGAGUGUUUCUGUGAGACAAGGGCAGACAAAGCCCAUUUGCUUCCUGAAUGCUGCAGAAGAGGUUUUCUUUGGCAAAACGUAGCCAAAAGCCAGCCUUGGAACCUCCUCAUGAGGAUGCUCCAGGUGUGUUUCUCUUUAUCUCCCUGAUGUAAGAGUGGUGCUGUUCUCAGUGCUAUGGCAUGAAGU